UACGUAGGGUGCGAGCGUUAAUCGGAAUAACUGGGCGUAAAGGGUGCGCAGGCGGUUGGUUAAGUCAGCUGUGAAAUCCCCGGGCUUAACCUGGGCAUGGCAGUUGAGACUGGACAGCUGGAGUGUGUCAGAGGGGGGUAGAAUUCCACGUGUAGCAGUGAAAUGCGUAGAGAUGUGGAGGAACACCGAUGGCGAAGGCAGCCCCCUGGGAUAACACUGACGCUCAGGCACGAAAGCGUGGGGAGCAAACAGG
Molecule: ribosomal RNA, 253 nt
Filed under: uncultured bacterium
Lineage: Bacteria
Description: partial 16S ribosomal RNA
Rfam family: Bacterial small subunit ribosomal RNA
Source: RNAcentral